GACGAACGCUGGCGGCGUGCUUAACACAUGCAAGUCGAACGGAAAGGCCCUGCUUUUGUGGGGUGCUCGAGUGGCGAACGGGUGAGUAACACGUGAGUAACCUGCCCUUGACUUUGGGAUAACUUCAGGAAACUGGGGCUAAUACCGGAUAGGAGCUCCUGCUGCAUGGUGGGGGUUGGAAAGUUUCGGCGGUUGGGGAUGGACUCGCGGCUUAUCAGCUUGUUGGUGGGGUAGUGGCUUACCAAGGCUUUGACGGGUAGCCGGCCUGAGAGGGUGACCGGCCACAUUGGGACUGAGAUACGGCCCAGACUCCGACGGGAGGCAGCAGUGGGGAAUAUUGCACAAUGGGCGGAAGCCGGAGGCAGCAACGCCGCGUGCGGGAUGACGGCCUUCGGGUUGUAAACCGCUUUCGCCUGUGACGAAGCGUGAGUGACGGUAAUGGGUAAAGAAGCACCGGCUAACUACGU
This 467-nucleotide ribosomal RNA is filed under the name uncultured bacterium. RNAcentral describes it as "partial 16S ribosomal RNA". It matches the Rfam family "Bacterial small subunit ribosomal RNA", at positions 28 to 506 of the family's 1533-position model. The record is from RNAcentral.